AGGGGCAGCACAGGUAGCAAUACUGGGUGGCGACCGGCGCAAGGGUGCGUAACGCUUGAGCAACAUACCCGUAUCAGGGGGAUAAUCCAGGGAAACUUGGUCUAAUACCCCAUAAUAAACUUUAGAGGCAUCUUUUUGGUUUUAAAAUUGCGAUGGAUACGGAUUGGCUCGUGUGACAUUAGCCAGAUGGUAAGGUAACGGCUUACCAUAGCUAUGAUGUCUAGGGGUUCUGAGAGGAUUAUCCCCCACACUGGUACUGAGACACGGACCAGACUCC
RNAcentral lists this ribosomal RNA (277 nucleotides) under uncultured Rikenellaceae bacterium. RNAcentral's name for it is "partial 16S ribosomal RNA". It matches the Rfam family "Bacterial small subunit ribosomal RNA", at positions 65 to 339 of the family's 1533-position model. Lineage: Bacteria; Pseudomonadati; Bacteroidota; Bacteroidia; Bacteroidales; Rikenellaceae. The record is from RNAcentral.